GGGAAUGUGAGAGACCUGGUUGUGGCAUCUGUCACCUCAUUGACAGCCUGGGUUGAUCAGGUUGACCUGGCUGGAGAGGUGGGUGUCCCCUUCCUCCCUCGUGGCUCUGUGUGUGUGUCCCCUGAAGCCAGGUGCUCUACCAAAGAGAAGGGGCCACAGAAGAGGGCCGGGAUCUGGGUGAGAAUGAAGAGCUGAGCUCCCUGAAGGAACCCAAAAGCACAAGACCUGCAGGGGAGCCAGCCCUGUAGAAAGGGCAGCCACAGCCCCCGGGGACUUUU
This is an unclassified non-coding RNA of Cricetulus griseus (Chinese hamster), 278 nucleotides long. Its record names the gene 7SK. It matches the Rfam family "7SK RNA". Rfam says of the family: 7SK was discovered as an abundant small nuclear RNA in the mid-70s but a possible function has only recently been suggested. The record is from Ensembl. Lineage: Eukaryota; Metazoa; Chordata; Mammalia; Rodentia; Cricetidae.